Long non-coding RNA from Aedes aegypti (yellow fever mosquito), 757 nucleotides. RefSeq lists it as uncharacterized. The record is from RefSeq and is a predicted model, not a curated record. Lineage: Eukaryota; Metazoa; Arthropoda; Insecta; Diptera; Culicidae. The transcript is spliced from 3 exons.
UAUAGUUAACUGCAGUUACCCUCGGAAUCGAAAAGAGAACAACAUAAUUGAGUGUGUUUUCAGUGAAAGGUUUUUCAAUUGAAUAUUCUUAUGAAUGUCCGGUUGAACUCUUUCGUUAAAAUGAAUGUGAAAAUAUUCAUGUAUCCAAGGCAACGAGAAACUGAUGCUGCUUCUGGUCCUCCAUUUUUCUAUUCUAUUCUUCAGCAGAGUGAUGAACAGAAAGUGAGUUAUGGCUAGAAACCGCCAGUAGAGAUCAUCUUUGACGGCGACAUUCUUUUGAUAGAAGGGCUUGUUGUUUCAGGAUUGUAAAUAAUAAUUAUUAAAAAAAAACAUGUAUUUCAUGGAAUCUUGAAUAAAUGAUACUACAACAAACAUGCUUUGUCAUCAAUAAAAAAAAUGAAAAGAUAAAACGCGAAUAAGUACCUCACCCAAAACCAGAAAAUUGGUUGAAUCAACCAGCAAAUUUGUUUGUUUUGAAAUGAUUCUUGUUUGAAUCAAACCACUGUUCUUAGUUUGAAACAACCUACGUUCUUGGUUGUUUCAAGAACUGUCAAAUUGAACAACAAAUGAUUUGGUUGUUUCAACCUAAGAUUUGUUGAAAUCAUCUAGAAUAUGUUGGUACGAACAACAUGAAAUCUUAGUUUGUUUUCAACAAUGCAUUUGGUUGAUUCAAACCCUAAUUUUGUUUGUGCAUAAUUCAAACUAAUGUUUUGUUUGAAAUGAACUAAUAAUUGGUUGUUUUUACUAUUUAUUUUUC